AACGAACGCUGGCGGCAGGCUUAACACAUGCAAGUCGAGCGAAGACUUCGGUCUUAGCGGCGGACGGGUGAGUAACACGUGGGUAACCCACCCCGAUGACCGGGACAACCCGAGGAAACUCGGGCUAAUACCGGAUGUGCUCCUUGACCUUGAGGUCAAGGCGUAAAGAUAGCUUCGGCCUUCGCAUCGGGACGGGCCCGCGGCCCAUUAGCUUGUUGGUGGGGUAAAGGCCUACCAAGGCGACGAUGGGUAGCUGGUCUGAGAGGACGAUCAGCCACACUGGGACUGAGACACGGCCCAGACUCCUACGGGAGGCAGCAGUGGGGAAUCUUGCGCAAUGCGCGAAAGCGUGACGCAGCAACGCCGCGUGGGGGAAGAAGGCCUUCGGGUUGUAAACCCCUUUCAGUUGGGACGAAGCUUCGCCGGUGAAUAGCCGGCUGGAGUGACGGUACCUUCACAAGAAGCCCCGGCUAACUACGUGCCAGCAGCCGCCGUAAAAC
RNAcentral lists this ribosomal RNA (500 nucleotides) under uncultured bacterium. RNAcentral describes it as "bacterial SSU rRNA". It matches the Rfam family "Bacterial small subunit ribosomal RNA", at positions 29 to 526 of the family's 1533-position model. The record is from RNAcentral.